UUUUGCUACAGGACACGGACUUUUGGCUAGAGAAUAGGAGGAACUUCCCAAUAGCAAGAGCUGCUCUGUCACAGAACUCAGUGCCUGGGGUUGGGAGAGUAUUCUUUGACUGGAGCUGCUUACAAAGAUAUUGGGGGAAAACGGCGACAGCAACUUCCCAGUCAAGUGACCGGGUUCCAGCUGCUUUUCUCUCCUAGAAGUGGAAAAAGCAAUGAAGGUUCUUUCAUUUGGCUGAGAUCAUCUGAGGAGGAAUUCUUGGAGAGAAGCACUGCUAAUCACAUGCUGAGGUUGCUCAUGGUUGCUCACACUAUGGUUGACCUUAGCAGGCUACAGCCCGUCUAGUCCAGCAUCCCUUCUCACACAGUGGCCCAUCAAUUGCUUCUGGGCAUCUCAAGCAGAAGACAAAGGCAAACCCUUCACCUACUCUUGCCUCCCUAUAGAGACCUCCUAACAACNUAAGUGGAGUCCUGCUAGAUCAGGAGGCGGUACCUAAGCAUCCAUUCUAGUAGCCAUCAAUACACCUGCCUCCAUGAAUUUGUCUGCAAGGACAUAAGAGCAGCCCUGUUGGAUCAGGUUACAGCUCAUCCAGUCCAGCAUCCUGUCU
This 604-nucleotide long non-coding RNA is filed under the name Salvator merianae (Argentine black and white tegu). Its description in RNAcentral is "lncRNA (ENSSMRG00000011711.1)". The record is from RNAcentral. Lineage: Eukaryota; Metazoa; Chordata; Lepidosauria; Squamata; Teiidae.